ACGGGAGGCAGCAGUGGGGAAUAUUGCACAAUGGGCGCAAGCCUGAUGCAGCGACGCCGCGUGAGCGAAGAAGUAUUUCGGUAUGUAAAGCUCUAUCAGCAGGGAAGAUAAUGACGGUACCUGACUAAGAAGCACCGGCUAAAUACGUGCCAGCAGCCGCGGUAAUACGUAUGGUGCAAGCGUUAUCCGGAUUUACUGGGUGUAAAGGGAGCGUAGGCGGUCAUGCAAGUCUGAUGUGAAAACCCGGGGCUCAACUUCGGGAUUGCAUUGGAAACUGUAAGACUAGAGUGUCGGAGGGGUAAGUGGAAUUCCUAGUGUAGCGGUGAAAUGCGUAGAUAUUAGGAGGAACACCAGUGGCGAAGGCGGCUUACUGGACGAUUACUGACGCUGAGGCUCGAAAGCGUGGGGAGCAAACAGGAUUAGAUACCCUGGUA
Molecule: ribosomal RNA, 434 nt
Filed under: uncultured Pseudobutyrivibrio sp.
Lineage: Bacteria; Bacillati; Bacillota; Clostridia; Lachnospirales; Lachnospiraceae
Description: partial 16S ribosomal RNA
Rfam family: Bacterial small subunit ribosomal RNA
Source: RNAcentral